ACAUGAACAUCGACAUUUUGAACGCAUAUUGCGGUCCAUACUGACUAGUUUCUUUACUGAAGCUGUAUGGACCACACAUGGUUGAGGGUCGUUAGUUUACGCUAACUGAAUUGCUUUUUAAUUAAAGCUACAUCAUGAGGUGUUGUCAUCCUUAAGUGUGUUGACAUCCCUUGAAAAUACCUUUGGUACACAAUUUAUUUAUUGUGAAUGCUUGUUUUAUCAAAGAAAACAAAUAUCGAGCAGAUUUAAUUUCAAUUCGAAAAUUUUGAAGCUAGUAAACUUUGACUAAGCGUUUAAACAUAAUAGUUUACGUAUUUGAAUGCAUAACCUGAACACUUCAAAACUAGUAGUAUAUCAGCGCGAUAUUUUUUCGUUAAUUUACUUUGAAUAAUAAAAAACGUUUCCAACCCAAAGCGGAUGGCAUUCAAUUAACAAUAAAUACUUUUGAACAAAAUCUCAAAGCGACCUCAGCUCAUGUGAGACUACCCC
This 489-nucleotide ribosomal RNA is filed under the name Gnoriste bilineata. Its description in RNAcentral is "eukaryotic LSU rRNA". The record is from RNAcentral. Lineage: Eukaryota; Metazoa; Arthropoda; Insecta; Diptera; Mycetophilidae.